Molecule: non-coding RNA, 45 nt
Organism: Oesophagostomum dentatum (nodular worm)
Lineage: Eukaryota; Metazoa; Nematoda; Chromadorea; Rhabditida; Strongylidae
Source: Rfam
CCAACGGCCCUCUUUAGGGCCACAAACUGCCAACGAAUACUGUGA